GUCCACACCGUAACGUUGGGCGCUAGGUGUGGGCUCAUUCCACGAGUUCCGUGCCGCAGCUAACGCAUUAAGCGCCCCGCCUGGGGAGUACGGCCGCAAGGCUAAACUCAAGGAAUUGACGGGGCCCGCACAAGCGGCGGAGCAUGCGGAUUAAUUCGAUGCAACGCGAAGAACCUUACCUGGGUUUGACAUACGCCGGAAAGCCGUAGAGAUACGGCCCCUUUUAGUCGGUGUACAGGUGGUGCAUGGCUGUCGU
RNAcentral lists this ribosomal RNA (256 nucleotides) under uncultured bacterium. Its description in RNAcentral is "partial 16S ribosomal RNA". It matches the Rfam family "Bacterial small subunit ribosomal RNA", at positions 793 to 1055 of the family's 1533-position model. The record is from RNAcentral.